UGAGGAAUAUUGGUCAAUGGGCGAGAGCCUGAACCAGCCAAGUAGCGUGCAGGAUGACGGCCCUAUGGGUUGUAAACUGCUUUUAUAAGGGAAUAAAGUGAGCCUCGUGAGGCUUUUUGCAUGUACCUUAUGAAUAAGGACCGGCUAAUUCCGUGCCAGCAGCCGCGGUAAUACGGAAGGUCCGGGCGUUAUCCGGAUUUAUUGGGUUUAAAGGGAGCGUAGGCCGGAGAUUAAGCGUGUUGUGAAAUGUAGGCGCUCAACGUCUGCACUGCAGCGCGAACUGGUUUCCUUGAGUACGCACAAAGUGGGCGGAAUUCGUGGUGUAGCGGUGAAAUGCUUAGAUAUCACGAAGAACUCCGAUUGCGAAGGCAGCUCACUGGAGCGCAACUGACGCUGAAGCUCGAAAGUGCGGGUAUCGAACAGGAUUAGAUACCCUGGUAGUCCGCACGGUAAACGAUGGAUGCCCGCUGUUGGUCUGAACAGGUCAGCGGCCAAGCGAAAGCAUUAAGCAUCCCACCUGGGGAGUACGCCGGCAACGGUGAAACUCAAAGGAAUUGACGGGGGCCCGCACAAGCGGAGGAACAUGUGGUUUAAUUCGAUGAUACGCGAGGAACCUUACCCGGGCUUGAAUUGCAGAGGAAGGAUUUGGAGACAAUGACGCCCUUCGGGGCCUCUGUGAAGGUGCUGCAUGGUUGUCGUCAGCUCGUGCCGUGAGGUGUCGGCUUAAGUGCCAUAACGAGCGCAACCCCUCUCCUUAGUUGCCAUCAGGUUAAGCUGGGCACUCUGGGGACACUGCCACCGUAAGGUGUGAGGAAGGUGGGGAUGACGUCAAAUCAGCACGGCCCUUACGUCCGGGGCUACACACGUGUUACAAUGGCAGGUACAGAGAGACGGUCCCUUGCAAAAUGGAUCAAAUCCUUAAAGCCUGUCUCAGUUCGGACUGGGGUCUGCAACCCGACCCCACGAAGCUGGAUUCGCUAGUAAUCGCGCAUCAGCCAUGGCGCGGUGAAUACGUUCCC
Molecule: ribosomal RNA, 1019 nt
Filed under: uncultured bacterium
Lineage: Bacteria
Description: bacterial SSU rRNA
Rfam family: Bacterial small subunit ribosomal RNA
Source: RNAcentral